RNAcentral lists this ribosomal RNA (477 nucleotides) under uncultured anaerobic ammonium-oxidizing bacterium. RNAcentral's name for it is "bacterial SSU rRNA". It matches the Rfam family "Bacterial small subunit ribosomal RNA", at positions 365 to 832 of the family's 1533-position model. RNAcentral also lists the same sequence under 1 other name. The record is from RNAcentral.
UUCGCAAUGCCCGAAAGGGUGACGAAGCGACGCCGCGUGGGUGAGGAAGGCCUUCGGGUUGUAAAGCCCUGUCAGGAGUUAAGAAAUGUAAGUGCGCUAAUAUCGCACUUAUUUGACGAAGGCUCCAAAGGAAGCCACGGCUAACUCUGUGCCAGCAGCCGCGGUAAUACAGAGGUGGCAAGCGUUGUUCGGAAUUAUUGGGCGUAAAGAGCACGUAGGUGGGUUUGUAAGUCAGAUGUGAAAGCCUUCUGUUCAACGGAAGAAUUGCAUCUGAAACUACAAGUCUUGAGUGUAGGAGGGGAGAAUGGAACUUCUGGUGGAGCGGUGAAAUGCGUAGAUAUCAGAAGGAACGCCGGCGGCGAAAGCGAUUCUCUGGCCUAUUACUGACACUCAGUGUGCGAAAGCUAGGGGAGCAAACGGGAUUAGAUACCCCGGUAGUCCUAGCCGUAAACGAUGGGCACUAAGUAGAGGGGUUUU